RNAcentral lists this ribosomal RNA (497 nucleotides) under uncultured bacterium. Its description in RNAcentral is "partial 16S ribosomal RNA". It matches the Rfam family "Bacterial small subunit ribosomal RNA", at positions 28 to 507 of the family's 1533-position model. The record is from RNAcentral.
GAUGAACGCUGGCGGCGUGCCUAAUACAUGCAAGUCGAGCGAACAGACGAGGAGCUUGCUCCUCAGACGUUAGCGGCGGACGGGUGAGUAACACGUGGAUAACCUACCUAUAAGACUGGGAUAACUUCGGGAAACCGGAGCUAAUACCGGAUAAUAUAUUGAACCGCAUGGUUCAAUAGUGAAAGACGGUUUUGCUGUCACUUAUAGAUGGAUCCGCGCCGCAUUAGCUAGUUGGUAAGGUAACGGCUUACCAAGGCAACGAUGCGUAGCCGACCUGAGAGGGUGAUCGGCCACACUGGAACUGAGACACGGUCCAGACUCCUACGGGAGGCAGCAGUAGGGAAUCUUCCGCAAUGGGCGAAAGCCUGACGGAGCAACGCCGCGUGAAUGAUGAAGGUCUUCGGAUCGUAAAACUCUGUUAUUAGGGAAGAACAAAUGUGUAAGUAACUAUGCACGUCUUGACGGUACCUAAUCAGAAAGCCACGGCUAACUACGUG